Molecule: ribosomal RNA, 228 nt
Filed under: uncultured bacterium
Lineage: Bacteria
Description: partial 16S ribosomal RNA
Rfam family: Bacterial small subunit ribosomal RNA
Source: RNAcentral
CGUGUAGGCGGAACUACAAGUCAGAUGUGAAAUACCACGGCUCAACCGUGGAACGGCAUUUGAAACUGUAGAUCUUGAGUAUCGGAGAGGCAAGUGGAAUUUCCAGUGUAGCGGUAAAAUGCGUAGAUAUUGGAAGGAACACCGGUGGCGAAGGCGACUUGCUGGACGAUUACUGACGCUGAUGCGCGAAAGUGUGGGGAGCGAACAGGAUUAGAUACCCUGGUAGUC